AUGGCCCUUAUUGACUUAGGGUGUCUUGCUUUCUGUCGCCCCUUCGGCCCCCUCGAGGCGGCUGCUUGGGACUCCCUCCUCCAAGACGUGGCCCUUAUGCCGAUGAACGUCGAGGAGGACCAGGAUGCCAUUUCUUGGCACCUUGAGCCGUCUGGCCGCUUCUCCACGAAGUCCUUGUACGCCGCCAUCGCGCCCUCGACGGCCCCGAAACCCUUUAGCCUGAUUUGGGACACCCGCCUUCCUCUGAAGAUCAGGAUCUUCCUGUGGCAAUGGAUCCGUGGAUGCCUCCCCUCUGGGGUUGAAGUCCUCAAGCGUGAUGGCCCAGGCAGUGGGAGGUGUCCCAUCUGUGGCACGAUCGAGGAUGCUAACCACAUCUUCUUCUCGUGCUCUACUGCCUAG
Molecule: ribosomal RNA, 399 nt
Filed under: Triticum aestivum (bread wheat)
Lineage: Eukaryota; Viridiplantae; Streptophyta; Magnoliopsida; Poales; Poaceae
Description: partial small subunit ribosomal RNA
Source: RNAcentral